Molecule: non-coding RNA, 172 nt
Organism: Desulfosporosinus sp. BRH_c37
Lineage: Bacteria; Bacillati; Bacillota; Clostridia; Eubacteriales; Desulfitobacteriaceae
Source: Rfam
UAGAACUUGUCAUUUGAAUUGGUAGGGGAAGUACCUACCUGACCCUGUGUGAGGGGUUACAAAAUCUCUAAUACUCCGACGUGCAUAAACAGUACCAUGUUUAUUGUACGAAGCUCGGUGAAGUGCAGAAAAAGUUAUCUGUGAUGAUGGCAAGUAUGCUGGAGGCUAAAAA